UAGUAAGCGCGAGUCAUCAGC
RNAcentral lists this unclassified non-coding RNA (21 nucleotides) under Chlamydomonas reinhardtii. Its description in RNAcentral is "small RNA Cre_2343". The record is from RNAcentral. Lineage: Eukaryota; Viridiplantae; Chlorophyta; Chlorophyceae; Chlamydomonadales; Chlamydomonadaceae.